GUUUUUGGCAUUUCUUCUUGGCUACUGGCAUCAGUCUCCUUGUCAUCAAAAGCCUCAUUUUGAACAAAUCCGUUGUUCUCCACACCUCUCUUGUCGCUCAGCUCCAUAGGAUUCCCAGCUAGAGCAUUGUGUCCAAGAGGAGCAGCCACCAGCCUGCUUGUUCCAAGUCUUUCCUACCUGGCUAACGGGGACAGCCUCCCUGCGUUUGUAUUCAUCCUGGGAGACAACUGCAUGACAAAACAGCAGAGCGUUAAGUGACACCUAAUCAGGUUUUAGCGCUUCUUUUUCCUUUCUCCAUUUCUCUCUAACUGUAUGACAAGACACAUGAUCCCGCAGAGCCAAGGCCAGCCGUGCGGUCAUUUUGUUUGGUACCACGUUGUGACCAUGUCACACACAGCUUGCUGCAAGUCACAGUCAGCGUCUCUUUGGAAGAACGCAGCCCGAGGUCAAGGAUCCUCGUGUUUACCACUUUGCAGCAUGGGCACAGGACGAGAGAAGCUGGGUGCCAGAGCAUUUACAUACCAGAGAUGCAGAUCUGCACUUCUGCCAGUCCCAGAAAACAUCUUUGGCACAUCAGCAGGACACAGACAUGUAGUUUAUGACAACAAAUAGCUGCUCAAUAGGCAAUGCUACAUGACCGUGACUUAAGAUGCAGUUUUGUGUCUAAUUCACCAGCAUUUAAUGCUAAUUUAAUCAACUCUUAUCCCUGACUGCUUGUUCCUGCCUUGCAUUGCCCCCUGCCUUGCGUCAGGUGAAGUGUUUAGGCAGCUGCGCAGUGAACCAGAUUGGGAAACAGAUUUGGCUGAAAAAAAAAAAAAAUACUAAUUUCAUUCUUCAGACAGCUCUCCAAUCCGCCUGGUGCCCAUGAGACCACACGAAUGCGUCUGCCAGCCCAGCACAGGGAGGAGGAGGAGGAGGAGAGGCAGGGAGAGGGUCCAGGACACAAAGCACAACUCCCCGACUGAGCAACUCUUCAGUCAAAUCACGGUCUUCGUGGCUGCGUUUGUUACAGGACGUUGCUGUCUGUCCCCUACAGAAAGUCAGGGAGUGGAAAGCAGUGAAGUCUUACACCCACAAACGCUGCUGGAAUCAAAGAUGGGGAGAGGGUUUAAAUUCCGUUAAUGGCUUACCCACAUUAAAACUGCCACGGAUCAGGGACCUACCCCCACUUCACCCAAGUCCUACGACACUGCUACCCCAAAACACUGUUGAAGUGCUGGGUCCAACCAGACUUCAAUCAUAUUUCAGAUCAACUCCACCUUGUCACGUAAGAAGAGCUGCAGCACAAGCAGGUACCAGCGGAGCACAGGGACACCUAAACUGGACAUCUGGACCUUAAAUGCUAAAAAUUUUCUAGAAAACCUGGCAGGAAAAUACAGCCAAGGAGCUUAAAACAGAUCUGGACGAUAACGUACCACAGACCCUGGAAAACAAGCCCAAGAAUCUGGUACCUCCUCCUAUAUGUUUUUUCCUCAUAGACUAAAAAUAAAACCACACAGGUAUUUUGCUUUUAUUACAGACCUCCCCCCCCACCUCCACUUGAGGAGUUGCUCGCCUUGAAAUUAUUUGAUAAAGGGAAACCAUAAACUUCAUCUUAAGAGAGGCAGAUCACCAACAAUUCCCGCUGAGCUUUAACUUUUUCCUUUUAAAAUAUAUUUUAUGUAUGCAGGCAUUAUGCUCCUGGCUUGCUCUCAAGCAAUUCUGAAACGGUUCCCCCCUGAGCAAUUUUAUAGUUUAGCAGGAGUAACUAGCCAGUGCAACUGCGCUAGCGGAAUCCACUGAAAAGCAUUAAAUAGUAAAGAAAACACUUCACAUUCUGUGCCAGUUAUUCUGUUUACCUCAGGGUUAGAUAGGGAAACAAAACCAAUCGGUAUGUGGGCAGUAAUAGCUGCUAUCUCCACACAGAUUGCCAUGGUUAUUUCCGUAAGAUGGAGGGGUUAAUUUCCACAAGUAUUUCUUAUAUAUAAUUAUUUAGAUGCACGGGCUGACUAAGUAGUCUGCUGUUUGAGGCUAUACAAAUGCCAAGUAGCUUGCCAGUUAUUUGAUACCAUACAUAUUACACCAAAAACCACACAGAGGGGCGAUUAAGCACCCUAACGUGCUAAGUGUAGGAAGACGUUUAUUGUUAAAAAGUUCUCUUGCUUAAUGCUUUUUCAUUAAAUGGUUUGUUACCACUGGAACUGGUCUGACAUAAUGCACUUCACCUCUAAAUAUAACCUCAUUAUUUACAGAAUCGGGGCCAGCUUUACGCCCAUGUAAAGAGGCAAACACUGCGGCUGUCAGUUUUCCCUCAGUGGCUCCCACAAGACUGAUGGAUAAACUGACCUUUAAAGCUACGUUUCAUUCAGCACUAAAAGUCCUCCCUUGACGGUGGUGGGCAGCCGUCAGGAGAGAGAUGCUCUUGAGGAACAAGUUUCUGAGAUGGUAUCUUCUACCCAGGAGAUCCCUGAGUGCGCGUGAGGUUUCUGCCAGCAGCCUCGAGUCCUGGGAGCGUGGCAAAAUACAAUUGCAUGGGACACCGUGAUGUGGUUUGUUGGGGUUUUAUUGUUGUUUUUUGUUUGUUUGUUUGUUUGUUUUUAAGGUUAAUGGCAUUAUAAACGUUGUAAUUAGCCCCAGCUUUGCUCACGUGACAUUUCAGGGGUAGGUUUCACGGGAAGGAAGCACUGGGCCCCUGCCCGCCAUGGGUCACCAGCAUCGCUGGCUUCUCCCACUAUUAUUAAUGAAAAGAACUAUCCUUCAAUUCUUGCUGUUAGCACAGCUGCAAGAACAGCAGCACACAGACCUGACUCCUCCUGGAUG
Long non-coding RNA from Chroicocephalus ridibundus (black-headed gull), 2799 nucleotides. RefSeq lists it as uncharacterized. The record is from RefSeq and is a predicted model, not a curated record. Lineage: Eukaryota; Metazoa; Chordata; Aves; Charadriiformes; Laridae. The transcript is spliced from 3 exons.